RNAcentral lists this ribosomal RNA (207 nucleotides) under uncultured bacterium. RNAcentral's name for it is "partial 16S ribosomal RNA". It matches the Rfam family "Bacterial small subunit ribosomal RNA", at positions 568 to 774 of the family's 1533-position model. The record is from RNAcentral.
CGUGUAGGCGGCCUUGUAAGUCGGGUGUGAAAUCCUUCGGCUCAACCGGAGACGUGCACUCGAUACUGCAAGGCUUGAGUACAGGAGAGGAGAGUGGAAUUCCUGGUGUAGCGGUGAAAUGCGUAGAUAUCAGGAAGAACACCGGUGGCGAAGGCGACUCUCUGGCCUGUUACUGACGCUGAGGCGCGAAAGCCAGGGGAGCGAACA